GAUGAACGCUGGCGGCGUGCUUAACACAUGCAAGUCGAACGAAGCACUUUAUUUGAUUUCCUUCGGGACUGAUUAUUUUGUGACUGAGUGGCGGACGGGUGAGUAACGCGUGGGUAACCUGCCUUGUACAGGGGGAUAACAGUUGGAAACGGCUGCUAAUACCGCAUAAGCGCACGGCAUCGCAUGAUGCAGUGUGAAAAACUCCGGUGGUAUAAGAUGGACCCGCGCUGGAUUAGCUAGUUGGUGAGGUAACGGCCCACCAAGGCGACGAUCCAUAGCCGACCUGAGAGGGUGACCGGCCACAUUGGGACUGAGACACGGCCCAAACUCCUACGGGAGGCAGCAGUGGGGAAUAUUGCACAAUGGGCGAAAGCCUGAUGCAGCGACGCCGCGUGAGCGAAGAAGUAUUUCGGUAUGUAAAGCUCUAUCAGCAGGGAAGAUAAUGACGGUACCUGACUAAGAAGCACCGGCUAAAUACGUG
Molecule: ribosomal RNA, 481 nt
Filed under: uncultured bacterium
Lineage: Bacteria
Description: partial 16S ribosomal RNA
Rfam family: Bacterial small subunit ribosomal RNA
Source: RNAcentral